UAAUAAUUUUAAUUUUAUUUUGUUGUAUAAAAUUAUUUUAUAUAUAAAUUUUAGUGUGAGAAUAAUUUAUUCUAUAUGAAAAAAUUUAUUUUAGUUGUAGUAAUUAUUUAUUAAAAAUUUAAGAAAUUAAGAUUUAGUUAAUAAUUUAUAGUAUAGUCUAAUUUUGUGCCAGCAGUCGCGGUUAUACAGAAUAUGUAACAAUAAAGUUUUGGUUUUAGUAUAUUUAAAUUUAUUUUAAUUAUUAUUUUAAUUUAUUAGGUGAAAUUUUAAAUUUUUAUAUAAUUUAUUUUAAUGAGUAUUGAAAAAGUUUUUUAUUAGACUAGGAUUAGAUACCCUAUUAUUGAAAAAGUAAAUAUAGAUAGCCUAAUUAGUAGAAUAUAUGUUUUUGAAAGUUAAAAAAGGUGGCGGUAUUUUAGUCUAUUCAGAGGAACCUGUUUUAUAAUUGAUAAUCCACGAUUUGAUUUACUUAUUUUUUAAAUUUGUAUAUCGCUGUAGAUUGAAUAUUUUAUAAGAAAAUUAAUAUUCAAUAAUUUUAUAGAAAAAAUUUCAGGUCAAGAUAUAGUUUAUAGAUAAGAAAAUAAUGGGUUACAAUAAAUUUAUUUAUGCGGAUAUUUUAAUUUAAUUUUAAUUUUGAAGAUGGAUUUGAAAGUAAUUUUAUUUAAAUAAUUAAGAUGAUUUAAGCUCUAAAGUGUGUACAUAUCGCCCGUCGCUUUCAUUUUAAGAUGAAAUAAGUCGUAACAUAGUAGAUGUACUGGAAAGUGUAUCUAGAAGCUU
RNAcentral lists this non-coding RNA (774 nucleotides) under Coleoptera sp. 4 KM-2017. Lineage: Eukaryota; Metazoa; Arthropoda; Insecta; Coleoptera. The record is from RNAcentral.